This is a non-coding RNA of Phrynosoma platyrhinos (Desert horned lizard), 72 nucleotides long. Lineage: Eukaryota; Metazoa; Chordata; Lepidosauria; Squamata; Phrynosomatidae. The record is from the annotation of a GenBank genome assembly.
GCCAAGGUGGCAUAGUGGUUUGAGUGUUGGACUAUGGCUAUGGAAACCAGGGUUUGAAUCCCGGCUUGGCCA